GCCGAUCGCGGCCUGCGGGGCGUGAAGCUGGUCGUUGCCGACGAUCACAAGGGGCUGCGGGCGGCUGCGCGUCGGGUGUUCGACGCGACCCACCAGCGC
This 99-nucleotide transfer RNA is filed under the name Jannaschia seosinensis. RNAcentral describes it as "tRNA-Gly". The record is from RNAcentral. Lineage: Bacteria; Pseudomonadati; Pseudomonadota; Alphaproteobacteria; Rhodobacterales; Roseobacteraceae.